RNAcentral lists this ribosomal RNA (376 nucleotides) under uncultured bacterium. RNAcentral's name for it is "bacterial SSU rRNA". It matches the Rfam family "Bacterial small subunit ribosomal RNA", at positions 524 to 898 of the family's 1533-position model. The record is from RNAcentral.
UACGAAAGGUGCAAGCGUUGUUCGGAAUUAUUGGGCGUAAAGCGCACGCAGGCGGAAUCGUAAGUCGAUUGUGAAAUCCCCGGGCUCAACCUGGGAAUUGCAGUCGAAACUGCGAAUCUUGAAUAUCUGAGAGGGUGGGAGAAUUCCUGGUGGAGAAGUGAAAUUCGUAGAGAUCAGGAGGAAUACCGGAGGCGAAGGCGCCUACCUGGCAGAAUAUUGACGCUCAGGUGCGAAAGCGUGGGGAGCAAACAGGAUUAGAUACCCUGGUAGUCCACGCCAUAAACGAUGGUUACUAGGUGUUCGGUGGACUAACCCACUGAGUACCAAAGCUCACGCAUUAAGUAACCCGCCUGGGGAGUACGGUCGCAAGGCUAAA